UCGAAAAUGUCCCAACAUGUAUGCUUUUGAUAUUAAAAUCCUCUAUAUCAGGAUAUUACAAUCUUUUCAAGCAACUACAAUAAAGAAUAAUAAUUUUUCAUGCAAGUUUGUGAGACGACAAACAAAUAAAUAAAUAAAUAACCAAACUUGCCUGCUAGAAGACUUGAGCUGAUCUCUAAACUCCUUGAACUUGAGAUUUCUCAUGUUCUCGAAACUAAAGACGUAAGCUGAACUAUACUUUUCCGCACAUUCCCUUAUUGUAUUUACUAUAUUUUCUUUGUGCUCCUUCCCCUUCUUCUUCGUCUUCGACAAUGUCACUGCAAUUAGAAACCACAACACAUCAGCUUAAUAAUUCAGAAAUUACUUAAAAAAACAUAAACUAUACUCAAGUAGUAAGAACUCAGCAAUCAGUUAUUGAAAUUUCAAGGGUUGUACUGCACCGGCUCUAUUACGCUUCGACUUCGGCAUUGUUUCUUUGGUUUUUGUGGUGAAAGCUAAAACCCUACUUCUUGUUUUUGCUUUCACAAAGUAUAACCUGGCCGCGCGUUUAGUUUUAUGUGUUUAUACUGGUUUGGUCGAUACUGGGCCUUGAGUUCAUAAGCCCAGUUAACUGACAGGUUGGGCUGAUUUGUUGGGUUUUAAUAAGAAACUUACAAAAAUGUCUCAUAUACGUUUCAACUUAUUAAUAUCUAGCCAAUAUUUUAAAAAACAAAAUAAAUAAGGAAUUUUUUAGUAGGUAUAGUUGAAAUUCAUUGAAAACAUAAAGAUAAGUUAAUAUACAAAAUUUUCCGUACAUUCCCUUAUUGUAUUUACUAUAUUUUCUUUGUGCUCCUUCCCCUUCUUCUUCGUCUUCGACAAGGUCACUGCAUUAGAAACCACAACACAUCAGCUUAAUAAUUCAGAAAUUACUAAAAAAAAAUAUUCAGAAAUUACUAAAAAAAAUAUACACUAUAACACCUUAUCAAUUGAAAUGCUUAAGUAGUAAGAACUUAGCAAUCAGAUAUUCAAAAAUCAAGGGUUAU
Molecule: long non-coding RNA, 1022 nt
Filed under: Nicotiana benthamiana
Lineage: Eukaryota; Viridiplantae; Streptophyta; Magnoliopsida; Solanales; Solanaceae
Description: long non-coding RNA (NBEN_LNC042561)
Source: RNAcentral